This 1782-nucleotide long non-coding RNA is filed under the name Nicotiana tabacum (common tobacco). RNAcentral describes it as "long non-coding RNA (NTAB_LNC004763)". Lineage: Eukaryota; Viridiplantae; Streptophyta; Magnoliopsida; Solanales; Solanaceae. The record is from RNAcentral.
AAACUUUAAAAACUUGCCGACGCUCUCUAGAUCUAUGCAUGCAUUUAUUGCUUCCCCAUACUUCAACUCUUUUCUUGUAUAUAUAUACCACUAACCACUGUAUAAUCAUAAACCCUAUAAACAAAAGUGAGCUAUAGUAGUAAGUGAUAAACCUCAGAAAAAGAAAGCUAAUUAAGAUCAGAGAAAUGGCAGUUAAGGGUUUGAGUUUAGCCAUUUUGUUGAUUUGUAUUGUUGUGGCUUCUAGUGUGAAUGGAGCUUUUGGAGAAGCAAUCAAUUUUCAGGAAGCUUUGGUUCAUUGCAAUGGUGGUGUUGAAAAUCAAAAUUGCUGUAAAGUACUGAAUGCUGCUGUACAAAGGGAGCGUUAUUGCUGGUCUUCUCUUUUUGGACAGAUUUUCAUUGCUGAUCUCUUCAAGUGUGGUGUUAUGCCACAUUGUUGAGUAAGUUACCACAUUCCUGGAAAAUAUUUUCCUGCAAAUUAAGUGAUUUUUACUUAUUUGUUUAUAUGCUUAGUUACAAGGGCGUAUCUAGGGCGUCCCAAAGAACACGUGAACUCAUACUUUCCUCCCUAAAUCAUGUAAAGUAAUAUUAUAUAUUUUUUUAAAAUAAUUAAAUAUAUGUAUGCGCAUCAAACUCAAAGUAUUAUAUGAUUCGAUGGUUAUUACAUGCAGUUCUCUAAAUAAUUAUGGUUUCAAUCUUAUGUCAAUAUGUUAUAUAUUUUCUGUUUUCCUAGAACUAGGUGCCUGCCGGAGAUGAACAUGUCUGAUGUCAUUUUUUGUGUAUUAAUUUAAGUCGUUUUUUCUUUCCUUUUUCUUUAGUUUAUUCUUUCAAAAUGUUCACACAUUAAAAUUCAUAUUUUUCUUUUGUCACUCUAAAAUCUUAUAUGGUUAAAUGAAAUAUGUAUUUAAAACUUGUAGCAAUGGAUUAUGUAGCAUAUAGCCAAUAAGUUGAAUUGAUUCUAAUAUUUUAGACACGGAGUAUAAAUAUAGGUGUAAGAAAAUUACUAAUUUAAAAAAAAAAAAUUGAACUUAUAAUUCUAAAAUGUAAUGGGUGCAAUAGUAAGAACUGAAGGUUGAACCCGUAAAAUUUAUAUUUAGAUCUAUCUCUUUGUAAUAGUACACACCUCUUCCUAAAAUCCUGAAUGUGACUCUAUUUAGUUAGUAAGCAUAAAAUAUCAUACCGAGAACGUUUACUUUUUCUCUAAACAAACAUUAUGGGGGACGAAAUGGGUGCAUUCGGGUUUGUAUCCCUCAAAAAUACUAAUUGCACCAUAUACCGUCAAACUUCUUUAUAACAUUAUAGUUUGUUCCGAAUAUUUUUUUAUUUUAUAGAAAAUUAUUGUUAUAGAGAACAUAUAUUAUAACAAAACAUGACAUUUGGUUCCGAAAAAACUUGAUUUCUAUAGUGAAAUGUUGUUAUAUAAGGAUGUUGUUAUAGAGAGAUCAGACUGUAUAUCGUGUAUACGUAACUUACAUGCACGUGUUUAUUUUUGGAUUGCAGGUAUUUGAUGGACUAGUCAAGGUUUGUCUAACUAGAGAGAAACUAGCCUGGUGUUUCGACCUUUGAUUUUCCACAAUGUCUUAUAGAAAGAAAAGAAAAAACAAAGUUGAGUCUUUGUGUUCCCUAUAUUACCUCAAUAUUACUUGUAACGUUUCUUUUUCGUGUAACUUUAUAAUGAAUGAAUAUUUGUUCGAUGCUAAUUGCAAGGAAUAAUAUGUCUAAAUUUUCUUGUUUUUUUUCCUUUAGCCUAAAGGUUAUUACUUUUUAAAAUAUCAUAACUCCCAU